AUUGAACGCUGGCGGCAUGCCUUACACAUGCAAGUCGAACGGCAGCACGGGUGCUUGCACCUGGUGGCGAGUGGCGAACGGGUGAGUAAUACAUCGGAACAUGUCCUGUAGUGGGGGAUAGCCCGGCGAAAGCCGGAUUAAUACCGCAUACGAUCUACGGAUGAAAGCGGGGGACCUUCGGGCCUCGCGCUAUAGGGUUGGCCGAUGGCUGAUUAGCUAGUUGGUGGGGUAAAGGCCUACCAAGGCGACGAUCAGUAGCUGGUCUGAGAGGACGACCAGCCAAACUGGGACUGAGACACGGCCCAGACUCCUACGGGAGGCAGCAGUGGGGAAUUUUGGAAAAUGGGCGAAAGCCUGAUCCAGCAAUGCCGCGUGUGUGAAGAAGGCCUUCGGGUUGUAAAGCACUUUUGUCCGGAAAGAAAGCCUUGGCCCUAAUACGGUCGGGGGAUGACGGUACCGGAAGAAUAAGCACCGGCUAACUACGUG
RNAcentral lists this ribosomal RNA (486 nucleotides) under uncultured bacterium. RNAcentral describes it as "partial 16S ribosomal RNA". It matches the Rfam family "Bacterial small subunit ribosomal RNA", at positions 30 to 507 of the family's 1533-position model. The record is from RNAcentral.